UUCACCAGUUUGCCUCAAUUUCCUCUUCUGUAAAAUUAAGAUUAUAAUAGCACCUGCCUCACUGAACUGUCUUGAAGAUAAAAAGGUAUAUAUAUAUAUGCAUAUAUAUAUAUAAAACACACAUAUAUAUGUCAUGAAGUGCUAUAUUUAUGCUAACCAUUAUUAAGUGGAUGGGAAGAAAAUGAAGAGGAAGAGAAGAAAUAACUAAAGCAGGGGUGUGGGCAAGCUCCCAGAGGAGAUUGGAGGGGAAAAAAAUCAAGAAUAUAAGUGAAGAAGUCAGCUUUGGCAAGGAAUAGGCCCACCUCUGCAUCAGAAAGGAAUGCCAAGGAGAGAAGAAAAGAAAAAUGAAGAGGGCUUUUUAGAUGUGGAGUGGGGGAGAAGCAGGAUCUCAUCUCCUGAUGGAUGGCCUCUAUUUUCUCAGGAAAGUAGGAAGCAAACUCAUCUGCUGAAAGAGAAGGGAGGUGGUGGUGUAGGAGGUAUAGGGAGAAGGAAGAUUUGAAACACCUGCUGCAGAGAGUGUGAUUAAGAGUCCACUGGUGAAGAAUAAAAGGAUUGCAUCCCUGCAGUGAGGACCCAAUUGAGAUCAGAAAAUGUACAUUUUCAAGUAGACCUGUCUGGAAUGGUUGUAGGCUUUCUCCUGGAAUAUUCAGCAACAAAGGCAGACAAAAGGAGCAACCCAGGGCUAUGGCUUAGCAAUGUGUGCCUAAAGGCAAGAGAGGCAGAGGAUUCAAGGAUCUCUGAUAAGGGAAGAACAAAUUGUUUAAAACUAUUAAGGGAAGGAAAAGAAAGAAGAGGAAGGAAGGAAGGAAGGAAGGAAGGAAGGAAGGAAGGAAGGAAGGAAGGAAGGAAGGAAGGAAGGAAGGAAGGAAGGAAGGAAGGAAGGAAGGAAGGAAGGAAGGAAGGAAGGAAGGAAGGAAGGAAGGAAGGAAGGAAGGAAGGAAGGAAGGGAAAGGAAGGAAGGGAAAGGAAGGGAAAGGAAGGAAGGGAAAGGAAGGAAGGGAAAGGAAGGGAAAGGAAGGGAAAGGAAGGAAAGAAGGGAAAGGAAGGAAGGGAAAGGAAGAAAGGAAGGAAGGGAAAGGAAGAAAGAUAA
Molecule: long non-coding RNA, 1090 nt
Filed under: Monodelphis domestica (gray short-tailed opossum)
Lineage: Eukaryota; Metazoa; Chordata; Mammalia; Didelphimorphia; Didelphidae
Description: lncRNA (ENSMODG00000040306.1)
Source: RNAcentral